AGAGAAGGAAGGCAAAACAAAAGCCUGAAGAGCCACCAGAUCCCCAAAGGGUCUUCAGAGAGAUUAUUCCCUGAAAUAUUUAACAGGAAGGGUUUUUCUCUCUCUCCACCUCCUCUGCUGGGAGAUGCUGGCUUUGCACCUCUGCAAAAAAAAAAAAAAAAAGCCUGCUGGGGACACAGCCUGAGGAAGGAAAAGCAGCUUCCUGCUCCUAGGGAAGAAGGCAGAAGGGAAUUUUGGAGAGAAUCAAAAGGAAUUCAAACAUGCAGAGCUGAACGCAAACAAAGCAAUUUAGUGCCUUGUCUUUGGGUAGUUCCAGAACAAAUUUGGGAGAAAACAACAAAACAGAAUGUUCUAAAAGAUUUGCUUAGAAAUUAAAAUUAAAAAAGAAAAUACCUCAAAUCAAAAAACAACAACAAGACAUGAAGUUAAAUCAGGUAUCCUGUUCCUAUCUAGUUUUGUUUGCCUUCAGCAACACAACCUUACCUGUCAAUCAACCAAAGAAAAGUUUAAAGAUCAGCAGCAUCGUAAAAUUUCUUUGUUGGAUGACAGUUUAAAGGAAAUAUGGAGUUCUAUGGAAUUUUAUGCUCAUGCUUUUCUCUUUCUUGCUUUUAGUAGUGCAAAUUUACUAGUUAGACAACCUGAAACAAAUAUUUGAGAGGUUUUAACCAAUGCAUCAGGUUUAGAUAUCAUGUGCAUUUCCUAUACACAAAGACAAAGCAGUCAAAGGGGUUUUCAUAGUUCAGAGAGAAGGGGGAGAUGUUGGAGCCCUGGAGGGUUGGGAUUUGGGGUUUUAGUGUGUAAAGGACUGUCCCUCAUGGGCAGGGGAAUGAUGCCAGAGGAGCAGAGGGCGUGGAGCAUCUCCUCCCUCUUAUCUCAGACCAGGACAAGAAGUGCAGGGAAAUCAGAAACACCCAGAUAACAAAACCACGCCAGCCUGGGGAGUUGUGUCCAUGUGAAACACCCCCUGGUGCAGGGUGGCAUUUUCCCUCAAAAAUACUCCAGUUAGCACCAAGCCAUGCCCUCCUUGUCCUCCCCUCAACAAACCAAGGAAGGGUAGGAGCAGCCAGUGAGGGAGCAGAACCCAGAGCUGCUGACCCACAGGGUGACAGCAGAGCACCAGCCCUUGUGGUGCAGAAAAACCUCCCACUCCAAGCUCUGCUUUUUACCCAAAUUCAGAAUUUAAAGGGGAGUUCUUAUCGAUAUUCUGUGACCUGCUUUAAAACCACUCCACCUGCUCGUGCCUUUCCUGCCAUGGAGGAAGUCAUGUGAGACAAAAACCUCAUUAAAUCUGAGUGCACCCGGCACAGAGGCACAGGGGAGGAGCAGUGCCCUGCAGGGCUGACCCUUCCCGAGGGGCCAGGAGCGUCCAGGACCCAGCACAUCCCUGCCUGCAGCUCUGCCUGGCUCUGCCUGGCUCUGCCUCUGCUGUCCCCAAGGAGCCGCUCCCCUCGGGCAGCACAGGGAGAAGGGCAGGGAGCCGGGCACGAAAGCACCACGGAGAAAGAAGGCAGCAGGCAGGAGUGCCACCACUGCCACCGCUGCCACCGCUGCCACCGCUGCCACCACUGCCACCACCACCAGCACGAGGGCAGGUGAGAAAAACCCAGCUUUUCCCAGGAAACCACCGGUGGCUCUUUAAAACCUUCCCCUGAGCCCUGUCUGUGCACGGAUUCCCCUCUGGAGCUCCAAACCCAUCGCGGAGGUGGAGCACGUGUAACUGCAGCGAGCCAGCAGCAGGAGGCACAAGGCACCUGCCGGGGACUUGAGAUGCUGAUAAUGUUUAGUGGAUAUUUAAAUAUUCUCCCUUCUGCUGGCGUGGGUUAUAAUAUUUAGUGGAUAUUUAAAUAUUCCCCCUUCUGCUGGGGUGGGUUAUAAUAUUUAGUGGAUAUUUAAAUAUCCCCCCUUCUGCUGGGGUGGGUUAUAAUAUUUAGUGGAUAUUUAAAUAUUCCCCCUUCUGCUGGGGUGGGUUAUAAUAUUUAGUGGAUAUUUAAAUAUCCCCCCUUCUGCUGGGGUGGGUUAUAAUAUUUAGUGGAUAUUUAAAUAUUCCCCCUUCUGCUGGCAUGGGUUACAGCACUGAUCUGUUGGGGGGUGAGGGGUUGGUAAAACUUACAGGAAAGGAAAGGUGAUUUCCAAAACUGUUCUCUGUAAAGGAAUAAUUCCAUUAAUUUCCACUAUCUUAGUGUAAAAGGUGCCUGAAAGUUUCCAGAAAUUGCACUAUUAAAACAAAAAUAAAAUCACACAGCUCACUGUAGUAAAGGGUGACAGCUUAAAAAAAGAAUCCCCUACAACUUAAAAUCAAUUUCCUGCUUAAAUUGAGUGAGGCAAAGCCGGUGAGCUUGAAGCCAGUGCAGAAGUGCUAUUAAUACAUUAACAGCUUCAAUAAAUACAUUUUACAGGUGUCACAAUCCCUAUGCUGGCCAAUCGGAAAAAAUAUCUAUUUCCUACUUAAAAAUGAGAUUUUUGGGUCAUUACCACUUUUCCUGUAGACCUGGGGUUUCAUUAAGCCACAGCAAGGAGUUGCCUUAUUUUAUUUCUGUUUUCUGAAAUAAAGCAGGGAAGCCUCAGAGGCAACCCUGUUUUAUUUUUAAUUUUUUUAUUAUUGUUUUUAUUUUUAUUUUUAUUUUUUUUUAUUAUUUUUUAUUUUUAUUUUAUUUUUAAACAUGUCUUUGGUUUGUGGUUUUUUUGGUUUUUGUUUUUUUGGUUUUUGUUUUGUUUUGUUUUUUGUUUUGUUUUUUGUGGGUUUUUUGGGGGGCGUUUUUUGGGUUUUUUUGGGUUUUUUUUGUUUUUUUGGUUUUUUGGGGUUUUUUUUGUUUUUUUGACAGCAUUUAUGAUUUUAACAGGAAAACAGCACCACAAAAGCAGAAGACAGCGGGCCCACUCUCCUCCAGCACUUCAAACCCCAGCUCCUGGGAGGAACCCAGCCCAAAACACUGCAGAGGAGAAAAAGGAAGAUGCAGAAAUAAAAGAGGCUGGCAGAAUUUUGGGUCUCUGCUCCCAGCUGGGCGAGAGCCUCCGCUGGGAUGGGAUUGUGGAGGAUCCCCGGGCAGAGGAGGAAAGGCUGCGUGUGUACAGGGGGAACAGGAGGAAAAGGUACGAAUUUUACCUCCAGGAACAGCUCCCAGCCACCAGGAAUUCCUGCAGGGAUUCCUGCAGGGGUUUUUUGGAAGAACAAGAGUGAACUGAAUGCUGAAGGAGCCUCUGAGCUGCACCAGGGGUGCCACCCAAAAAACCCCCAAAAUUUCUGUGUCUUAGCAGUGGUUACUCCCUGGCUGUGUCUCUGUUGAGUAAACAACAUUUAUAUUAAAAAAAAAAAUCAAAAACGAAAACCAAAACAAAACAAAAAAACCCCAAAAAACC
Molecule: long non-coding RNA, 3357 nt
Organism: Prinia subflava (tawny-flanked prinia)
Lineage: Eukaryota; Metazoa; Chordata; Aves; Passeriformes; Cisticolidae
Exons: 2
Source: RefSeq, a predicted model, not a curated record